UGGGGAAUAUUGGACAAUGGGCGCAAGCCUGAUCCAGCAAUGCCGCGUGUGUGAAGAAGGCCUUCGGGUUGUAAAGCACUUUUAUCAGGAGCGAAACGCUGUCGGCUAAUACCCGGCGGAACUGACGGUACCUGAGGAAUAAGCACCGGCUAACUUCGUGCCAGCAGCCGCGGUAAUACGAAGGGUGCAAGCGUUAAUCGGAAUUACUGGGCGUAAAGCGUGCGUAGGCGGUUUCUUAAGUCUGCUGUGAAAUCCCCGGGCUCAACCUGGGAAUGGCAGUGGAUACUGGGAGGCUAGAGUGUGUCAGAGGGUGGUGGAAUUCCCGGUGUAGCGGUGAAAUGCGUAGAGAUCGGGAGGAACAUCAGUGGCGAAGGCGGCCACCUGGGACAACACUGACGCUGAGGCACGAAAGCGUGGGGAGCAAACAGGAUUAGAUACCCUGGUAGUCCACGCCCUAAACGAUGCGAACUGGAUGUUGGUCUCAACUCGGAGAUCAGUGUCGAAGCUAACGCGUUAAGUUCGCCGCCCUGGGGAGUACGGUCGCAAGACUGAAACUCAAAGGGA
RNAcentral lists this ribosomal RNA (564 nucleotides) under uncultured bacterium. RNAcentral's name for it is "partial 16S ribosomal RNA". It matches the Rfam family "Bacterial small subunit ribosomal RNA", at positions 355 to 909 of the family's 1533-position model. The record is from RNAcentral.